Molecule: unclassified non-coding RNA, 338 nt
Filed under: soil metagenome
Description: partial contains 5.8S ribosomal RNA, internal transcribed spacer 2, and large subunit ribosomal RNA
Rfam family: 5.8S ribosomal RNA (bases 1-120)
Source: RNAcentral
GAUGAAGAACGUAGCGAAAUGCGAUACGUAGUGUGAAUUGCAGAAUUCAGUGAAUCAUCGAAUCUUUGAACGCACAUUGCACCUCUCGGUAUUCCGGGAGGUAUGCCUGUUCGAGCGUCAUUUGUACCCUCAAGCUCUGCUUGGUGUUGGGUGUUUGUUCCGCCUCUGUGUGUGAACUCGCCUCAAAACAAUUGGCAGCCGGCGUACUUGUUUCGGAGCGCAGCACAUUUUGCGAUCCAGAUCAACGUACAGCGGCAUCCAAGAAGCCUUAUUUAACGCUCUUGACCUCGGAUCAGGUAGGGAUACCCGCUGAACUUAAGCAUAUCAAUAGCGGAGGA